Molecule: long non-coding RNA, 1051 nt
Organism: Leopardus geoffroyi (Geoffroy's cat)
Lineage: Eukaryota; Metazoa; Chordata; Mammalia; Carnivora; Felidae
Exons: 4
Source: RefSeq, a predicted model, not a curated record
CCAUUUCUAGAUGAAGUGUCUCUUUCAAUCCCAGACCCUCUCUGCCCUUCUAAGUGGCUCACUUGAAAAUAGCUGGGGCCCGACUGCCCCCUGGGAGCAGUGAGCGAGGUCGAGAGCUAGAGAGACCCCAGCUGUGGCUCUCAGUGCCGUAGGCCCACGACAGCUCCGCUGCUUCUGGCUGCCAGCAGAGAGCCGGCCAACUCCAGCAAGUCUGAAAGUUCGUGCUGACUUGACACCCGGGGUCAGGGAGGUUCCUGGCACGCCGUCGAGGGCCCCCAUGUCUUUGCAGGGAUGUCUAAGCGGUGAUACACGGCCAAUGAACUUAGCAGCAGACCAUCUCCCCAGCAGACCCAGGGAGGGAGUUCCUCUCCCAUUUGUAGAUGAGGACACCGCUGCGAACGGAGCUUGGGAACGUGCUGCAGUCACACUGUAAGCGACAGGGUCAGAAUCUGAACCCAGGCAGUCGGAAGGCAGAGCUCUGGCCCUCAACCACUGCCUUCCAGAAGAAGACAAGGAACUGUCUGGGAGCUGGAGUUGUUACGAACACUCCUGGCGACGACACCGAGGACAAAAUGGACACGAAGAAUUGCAGAGCGUGCGGAAGUCCCGUGUGUGACCCCGGAGGAAGUGAAUCUGGGGAGGGAAGGUUUUCAAAGGCACCAGUGACCUGCUCAGAGCAGGAAAGACCUGGGGGGUUAUCGCCUCCACUGCUGAGCCCAAAGGCAGACCUUCCAGGCCUGUCAGGGUCCCAGCAGAUUAUCCUCAGGCUCCAUGAAGUCGGUCUGUCCCAGACAAGGCGGAGACACACAGACUCUUAAAAUAUAGAGCCGUAUGCUCACAAUGUUUAUCAAGGCUGAGAUCAGUGCCAUCCGGGGCGGUAGCCACUUGCCACAUGGGGCUAUUAAGCACUUGAAACGUGGCUAGUCCAAACUACGAUGAGGUGUAAGUACAAAAUCCACACCGGAGUGUGAAAACUUGGAGAGAAAAUCAAACACGAAGUAUCUCGUUAACAAUUGUAUAUUGAUUAGAUAUUUAAAUGAUAAUAUGUUGA